GGAGCGUUCUGUAAGCCUGCGAAGGUGUGCUGUGAGGCAUGCUGGAGGUAUCAGAAGUGCGAAUGCUGACAUAAGUAACGAUAAAGCGGGUGAAAAGCCCGCUCGCCGGAAGACCAAGGGUUCCUGUCCAACGUUAAUCGGGGCAGGGUGAGUCGACCCCUAAGGCGAGGCCGAAAGGCGUAGUCGAUGGGAAACAGGUUAAUAUUCCUGUACUUGGUAUUACUGCGAAGGGGGGACGGAGAAGGCUAUGUUGGCCGGGCGACGGUUGUCCCGGUUUAAGCGUGUAGGCUGGUUUUCCAGGCAAAUCCGGAAAAUCAAGGCUGAGGCGUGAUGACGAGGCACUACGGUGCUGAAGCAACAAAUGCCCUGCUUCCAGGAAAAGCCUCUAAGCAUCAGGUAACAUCAAAUCGUACCCCAAACCGACACAGGUGGUCAGGUAGAGAAUACCAAGGCGCUUGAGAGAACUCGGGUGAAGGAACUAGGCAAAAUGGUGCCGUAACUUCGGGAGAAGGCACGCUGAUAUGUAGGUGAAGUCCCUUGCGGAUGGAGCUGAAAUCAGUCGAAGAUACCAGCUGGCUGCAACUGUUUAUUAAAAACACAGCACUGUGCAAACACGAAAGUGGACGUAUACGGUGUGACGCCUGCCCGGUGCCGGAAGGUUAAUUGAUGGGGUCAGCGCAAGCGAAGCUCUUGAUCGAAGCCCCGGUAAACGGCGGCCGUAACUAUAACGGUCCUAAGGUAGCGAAAUUCCUUGUCGGGUAAGUUCCGACCUGCACGAAUGGCGUAAUGAUGGCCAGGCUGUCUCCACCCGAGACUCAGUGAAAUUGAACUCGCUGUGAAGAUGCAGUGUACCCGCGGCAAGACGGAAAGACCCCGUGAACCUUUACUAUAGCUUGACACUGAACAUUGAGCCUUGAUGUGUAGGAUAGGUGGGAGGCUUUGAAGUGUGGACGCCAGUCUGCAUGGAGCCGGCCUUGAAAUACCACCCUUUAAUGUUUGAUGUUCUAACGUGGACCCGUGAUCCGGGUUGCGGACAGUGUCUGGUGGGUAGUUUGACUGGGGCGGUCUCCUCCUAAAGAGUAACGGAGGAGCACGAAGGUUGGCUAAUCCUGGUCGGACAUCAGGAGGUUAGUGCAAUGGCAUAAGCCAGCUUGACUGCGAGCGUGACGGCGCGAGCAGGUGCGAAAGCAGGUCAUAGUGAUCCGGUGGUUCUGAAUGGAAGGGCCAUCGCUCAACGGAUAAAAGGUACUCCGGGGAUAACAGGCUGAUACCGCCCAAGAGUUCAUAUCGACGGCGGUGUUUGGCACCUCGAUGUCGGCUCAUCACAUCCUGGGGCUGAAGUAGGUCCCAAGGGUAUGGCUGUUCGCCAUUUAAAGUGGUACGCGAGCUGGGUUUAGAACGUCGUGAGACAGUUCGGUCCCUAUCUGCCGUGGGCGCUGGAGAACUGAGGGGGGCUGCUCCUAGUACGAGAGGACCGGAGUGGACGCAUCACUGGUGUUCGGGUUGUCAUGCCAAUGGCACUGCCCGGUAGCUAAAUGCGGAAGAGAUAAGUGCUGAAAGCAUCUAAGCACGAAACUUGCCCCGAGAUGAGUUCUCCCUGACCCUUUAAGGGUCCUGAAGGAACGUUGAAGACGACGACGUUGAUAGGCCGGGUGUGUAAGCGCAGCGAUGCGUUGAGCUAACCGGUACUAAUGAACCGUGAG
RNAcentral lists this ribosomal RNA (1703 nucleotides) under Shigella sonnei. Its description in RNAcentral is "partial 23S ribosomal RNA". It matches the Rfam family "Bacterial large subunit ribosomal RNA", at positions 1233 to 2915 of the family's 2925-position model. Lineage: Bacteria; Pseudomonadati; Pseudomonadota; Gammaproteobacteria; Enterobacterales; Enterobacteriaceae. The record is from RNAcentral.